RNAcentral lists this ribosomal RNA (497 nucleotides) under uncultured bacterium. Its description in RNAcentral is "partial 16S ribosomal RNA". It matches the Rfam family "Bacterial small subunit ribosomal RNA", at positions 28 to 507 of the family's 1533-position model. The record is from RNAcentral.
GAUGAACGCUGGCGGCGUGCCUAAUACAUGCAAGUCGAGCGAACAGACGAGGAGCUUGCUCCUCUGACGUUAGCGGCGGACGGGUGAGUAACACGUGGAUACCCUACCUAUAAGACUGGGAUAACUUCGGGAAACCGGAGCUAAUACCGGAUAAUAUAUUGAACCGCAUGGUUCAAUAGUGAAAGACGGUUUUGCUGUCACUUAUAGCUGGAUCCGCGCCGCAUUAGCUAGUUGGUAAGGUAACGGCUUACCAAGGCGACGAUGCGUAGCCGACCUGAGAGGGUGAUCGGCCACACUGGAACUGAGACACGGUCCAGACUCCUACGGGAGGCAGCAGUAGGGAAUCUUCCGCAAUGGGCGAAAGCUUGACGGAGCAACGCCGCGUGAGUGAUGAAGGUCUUCGGAUCGUAAAACUCUGUUAUUAGGGAAGAACAAAUGUGUAAGUAACUAUGCACGUCUUGACGGUACCUAAUCAGAAAGCCACGGCUAACUACGUG